Molecule: ribosomal RNA, 494 nt
Filed under: uncultured bacterium
Lineage: Bacteria
Description: partial 16S ribosomal RNA
Rfam family: Bacterial small subunit ribosomal RNA
Source: RNAcentral
GACGAACGCUGGCGGCGUGCUUAACACAUGCAAGUCGAACGGUGAAGCGCCUUCCUUUUUGGUGGGUGUGGAUGAGUGGCGAACGGGUGAGUAACACGUGAGUAACCUGCCCCCUUCUUCUGGAUAACCGCAUGAAAGUGUGGCUAAUACGGGAUAUUCUGGGUCUGUCGCAUGAUGGGUCUGGGGAAGGUAUUGUUUCGGUGGGGGAUGGGCGCGCGGCCUAUCAGCUUGUUGGGGGGGUGAUGGCCUACCAAGGCGGUGACGGGUAGCCGGCCUGGGGGGGUGGACGGUCACAUCGGGAAUGAGACACGACCAAGACUGCUACGGGAGGCAGCAGAGGGGCAUAUUGGACGAAGGGGGGAAGACUGAUGCAGCGACGGCGCGUGCGGGAUGGAGGCAUUCGGGUUGUGAAACUCUUUCGCCAGUGAAGCAGGCCUGCCUCGUUUGUGAGUGGGUUGACGGUAGCUGGAUAAGAAGCGCCGGCUAACUACGUG